Non-coding RNA from Meleagris gallopavo (turkey), 1186 nucleotides. The record is from RefSeq and is a predicted model, not a curated record. Lineage: Eukaryota; Metazoa; Chordata; Aves; Galliformes; Phasianidae.
ACUGAGAAGAAACAUCUGAAAGAUGAAAAACACAAAGGAGCUCCACCAGCAAAAGAAGCUCCAAAACACCACAACCUGACAUCAGCUCCUGUCCGCUACUUUCAAUGUGUUUUCAUAAACGGACCUAACGGAUUUGGACUGCAGUUUCCUACCAACCCCUCUUCAAACAAGGAAGAAAAGAAUCACUCAAAGACUUCCAAGAGAAAGACAAGGAAGCCAGGGCAGUAGAGAGACUGAGUUCUGUGAUUGUUCGCAUUUUGCACAUUAUCUUUUCUGCUGAGGUCCACAGUAGUCACAGUGGUACUUGUCAUUGCCAGAAUGUGAUCCAUUUGGCACAUGUACCUGGAAAAGUUUCCGUGAGACACGGGCAAAACAAGCUGUGUUUGACAAAGGCAGAGAAGUAAAAGCACCCUAUUUCUCGUGGAAAGGCUGCUAAGAAAGCAUUGGCCUGAUUGUGUGUGUGAGCGUGUGUGUGAUUUCCUGCCUCUUUAGCUCCGUUUUUCUUAACCUGCUCAGCAUUAAAGUCAGUCUGUUUUCCAUUUAUUCUUAACUAGGGAGUGAGAGGCUGAAUGUAGCUUUUAUAUCAGCAAGAUUGCAAGACUGCCAGCAAUCCUAAAUCACUUCUUCUUAAAGUUCAAUCAAAUUGCUGACAGGAGAAAGCCUCAAUAAAUCAUGAAAAUGUGCCCUGCAACUGGUGCUAUUUUUAUUUCUCAUUGACCAGUGUGGCUUGAAGUUCACAAUUGCUAUCAGCAGCUCAGCAUACUACCAAUAAGUUGAUUCUUCAAGUCAUGCUAAUGAUGGAUAUUUCUAUUUAACUUGAAACAGUUAAAGACACUGUGUUUGCCCUGCCUGCUGGCAAAAUACAAAUAGUUCAUGUUAUAAAAGCCCAAAGUGAGAAGAGAAACUAAAACAACAUGGCAAAGGUGAGAAAAAUCAAUGUUUUAUCAACAUGAAGAUCCCAAGAAACAAGCAAAACAAAACAAAUUUUUUUCCUGUGGGUAAAUCAGAUCAAUUUGCAGCAAAAACCAUGAAAAUUGAGAAUACACCAGCCAACCAACCAUUUUCUGUUAGCAUAAUAUGAAAAGCUGUGAUGUAUGAUGCUGGUCACAUGAAACCAAUCCAAAUACCCAGUGGGUAUACAUGCCAAUUUGUAACAAUCUCAGAUCAGUGAUAGAAAAAAAAAAAA